RNAcentral lists this long non-coding RNA (683 nucleotides) under Homo sapiens (human). Its description in RNAcentral is "HSALNT0404211". Lineage: Eukaryota; Metazoa; Chordata; Mammalia; Primates; Hominidae. The record is from RNAcentral.
CUGCAUGCUGUGUUUUAUAGAACUAAAAUAAAAUCCGAAGUCCCCAAGUGACUGAACAGACCCCCUCUUGGCCAAGGGGACCCCAGAGAAACCUGAAAGCUGAGCUCCCAGCCAUGAGGGGACGGGCGAUCGGACACGCUUCAUCACAGUCCCUCCCCUUUGUGGUUUAAACGACGAUGAUCGGCUGUCAUGCUAAAAUAGAGACACGAGACCGACAGCACAGACUCCUUAUGGCAAUAAGACACCAAAUUAUAAGCAGCACCUCAGGCCACGCCAGGUAAGGGUCGAGCCGCGCACUCUACACUUAGAGAACGGACUCUGCUCUCACACCACAGCGUCUUCUUUUUCUUCAGCAGCUAAACACGCACCGGCCCCGAGAUUCAAACGACUGCAGCUCAUCCACCUGCAGACGCUGGCUGACCCCGUUCCACAGCUGUGACUAUAGCUUUGAUUGGACAAGAGGUUGAUUUCAGUCUCCUGCUCCUCCUGGAACCUGAAUAUGUAUGUUUGGCCAGCUCAAUUCAGCAUGAGGCUCCUGCUGCAACACCGCCUCCUUCCAGGUGCCUGCCAGCUGUUUCUGCCAGAGGCUGCGUCUCCCGGCCUGUCAGAAUGGCCACCCUGCAGGCUGUAAUCCUUUAGAAGAAAUAAAGAUCCCCUUUCCAGAUGUAUAGAUCUUGUGAUUU